This 270-nucleotide ribosomal RNA is filed under the name uncultured bacterium. Its description in RNAcentral is "partial 16S ribosomal RNA". It matches the Rfam family "Bacterial small subunit ribosomal RNA", at positions 524 to 795 of the family's 1533-position model. The record is from RNAcentral.
GACGAACCCGUCCUAACGUUGUUCGGAAUCACUGGGCUUAAAGGGCGCGUAGGCGGGCCAUCAAGUCCGGGGUGAAAUACUUCGGCUUAACCGGAGAACUGCCUUGGAUACUGAUGGUCUAGAGGGAGGUAGGGGUCUGUGGAACUUCCGGUGGAGCGGUGAAAUGCGUUGAUAUCGGAAGGAACGCCGGUGGCGAAAGCGACGGACUGGACCUCUUCUGACGCUGAGGCGCGAAAGCCAGGGGAGCAAGCGGGAUUAGAAACCCGUGUC